RNAcentral lists this ribosomal RNA (497 nucleotides) under uncultured bacterium. RNAcentral describes it as "partial 16S ribosomal RNA". It matches the Rfam family "Bacterial small subunit ribosomal RNA", at positions 28 to 507 of the family's 1533-position model. The record is from RNAcentral.
GAUGAACGCUGGCGGCGUGCCUAAUACAUGCAAGUCGAGCGAACAGACGAGGAGCUUGCUCCUCUGACGUUAGCGGCGGACGGGUGAGUAACACGUGGAUAACCUACCUAUAAGACUGGGAUAACUUCGGGAAACCGGAGCUAAUACCGGAUAAUAUAUUGAACCGCAUGGUUCAAUAGUGAAAGACGGUUUUGCUGUCACUUAUAGAUGGAUCCGCGCCGCAUUAGCUAGUUGGUAAGGUAACGGCUUACCAAGGCAACGAUGCGUAGCCGACCUGAGAGGGUGAUCGGCCACACUGGAACUGAGACACGGUCCAGACUCCUACGGGAGGCAGCAGUAGGGAAUCUUCCGCAAUGGGCGAAAGCCUGACGGAGCAACGCCGCGUGAGUGAUGAAGGUCUUCGGAUCGUAAAACUCUGUUAUUAGGGAAGAACAAAUGUGUAAGUAACUAUGCUCGUCUUGACGGUACCUAAUCAGAAAGCCACGGCUAACUACGUG